Molecule: non-coding RNA, 8895 nt
Organism: Macaca mulatta (Rhesus monkey)
Lineage: Eukaryota; Metazoa; Chordata; Mammalia; Primates; Cercopithecidae
Source: RefSeq, a predicted model, not a curated record
UCUCUCUCUUGUUCUUUUUUUUUUUUCUUGGUCUCUGGUGUAAGCGGGCUCUCGAAAUGCCCUAGUUAUCUAACAUUGCUCUUGAACUCCACUUACAGAUGAUAUACUAGCCUUUUACUAAAAUAUAUCUGGGUAUUAAAAGCUCAAUUCUUUACUGCUGAUGAGAAAGAUUAUUAACACUUUUUUUUCCCAGCUAUAAUAUGAGGCAGUAACACCCCUUUUAACUUCCAGAGCCAGAGGCAGUAUGUCACAUUAACCUUCAUUAACUGCCCAAGAAAUGAGGUGCGUUCAUUAAUUUAGUAUUCUUUUUAGCUAAGAUUGUGUGAGAAGGCUGAUAAACGUCUGUGGUUUCUCCCUUUGCUAUUAAAAAUAAAUAAAUAAAAGAAUGGUAAAGUAUGUUAGCCUGCUUAUCUUAUCGUCCUGAUAAGUGCAACAUUCUGAUUAGGGGUCAGAUCUGGACAGGAUGAGUCUGCAGCUGGUGGGCAAGGAUGGGGGUCACUGGGGCAGGGCGGAGGAAACGCAGGCUGACCGAGAUCAGCCUGAGGAAGAGCAUCCGAGGCGUGUGGUGGGGGAAAUCAGGUAGCAUCUGAAAACCAAGCCAAAGGUGGAAAGAGAAAAUAAAUUCUAUUUCUAUAUAAGUAAUGGCAUGAUGGAAGCCAACCCACCUAAGCCACUCAGAUAUCCUGUGAAUUACUAAAUGCACUGUAGAGAUUUUUGGUAUAUGUGGCAUCAUCACUUCUGAUGUUCCCAUUUCUCUUUCCAUCACCUUCAUUUAUUCAUUACUUUAAAAAGGCAUAUCAAGCAUUUUGCUAGCUCCUGGGGGAAAAAAAGAUGAAUGACACAACUCCUAAGCUCAGGGACCUGCGUUCUUUCUUCAUCUGAGCUUUAAAAAAUGUAGAGUCAGCUUUACCAUCACCUCCUCUCUGUUUUCCAAGAAUACUGCAAUAAUGUUGUUUCUUCAUAACACCUCCAGAAUCCAUCUCAAUUUUCCUUUCACCACUACCAAGGUUUGGGCACCAUUCCCUUUUAGCCAGGCAAUUGCAGAAGCCUCUUGAUUAGUCUCCUUAUAUCCAAUCCCUUCCUCCCCCAUCAAUCUUAGAUUUGGUUACUGGACUUAUUAUCCUACAAUUUCGUUCUUGGUCCCAUUGUUUAUGAAGAGGGGGGUAAUGUCUUAGCUUUAUAUUGUGGCUCUCCUCAACCUAGUCCCACUUCUACAGCACUAACACCUGACUUGAACCACAGUGAUUCCUUCAUCCACCUUCAGACAUAUGUAUGUAUUUUCACAUAUCUGGUCUCCCUCCCACAAUUUUUUUCAUUUCCAAAGCAGGACAGCAUGGUGGUUAAGACCAUGCGCUUGGGGACCAGAUACGCUUUACUACUUACUUGCUGUGUAGUUUGGACAAUUUAUUUAAUCUCUCUUUUGUGCUUCUGUCUGUAUAUCACUGAAAAUAACUUAUUAAAAGUAUUUUCUCAUAAAAUUAAGUAGGUUAAUGUAUCUAAAAUGCUUAGAAUAGAUGCUGGCACGUAGUAAGUGCUAAUUUUUAACACUUACUAUUGUUGCUAUUGUUGCUAUUGUUGUUAAUACCUAAACCCCUCCCUACUCCCUGGCCAAAUAUUUUAUAGCUCACUGCAAAUCCCAGGGAACUCGGGGAACCUCCCCAGACAUUUAAGUAGAAGUGUUUGUUCCUUUUUCAGCCCUUCUGUGGCACCACUUAUCUGACCCACAUUUAGCAAGUGGAUUGAGACUUACUAAUUAUUUUCAUGGGAAAUAAAACCUGAAGAAAUGACUAGCAAUAGAAGAUAAUAAAUGGUUAGUAAUGAUAGAAAAAAGUAGCGUAGGCUCUAUAGAGUGUAUGUUCUCUGAGGGCACGGUCAAUGCUUCGUGUGUCUUUGUUUCUUGUACAAUGCUUUGUGCCUUCUUGUUAACAAAAUUAAGCUCCCAGUUUUUUUCCUGAUUCAAUCGAGGAUGUGAUCAGAAGAUCAUUAAUAGACCAAUCUGUUUAAACAGACAAUGGAUAAUCAGAUAAUAGAGUGUCUUGACUGGUAGUGUAUCAAUGUGAAGAAAUAAGGAGCCACCUUGGUUUUGGACAAAGGGUUGUCUAGCCCAUCUGGACAGUAGUUCUGGACAUCACGAAUGUGGUGGUUUGGGAGGAUUAGUUUGGUGGCAGGCUGCCAAAUGGAAUGAAACAAAAAGAGGGUCACCAGAGAGGAGGGUAUUAGUACCUGAGCUUGGACUCUAGGAAUAAAUGGAGAAGAAAUCUUAAAUCCAAGGACAGAUGGCAAAGAGAGAAUAUAUAGGAAUUGGGAGAUCAUAGAGGAUGUUGAAGAGGCAAGGGUAAAAAAAGUGACUGCUGGAUCUCUUCCUUGGUUAACUUUGGAGAAUUCAAAUUGGGAAAAGGUUGUCUUGAAGGACAAAAGACGUAUGCAGUUACUGGACCUUGAGUUCCAGGAUGUCUGAGACCAUGCAUCUCUUGCUCAUCACCGGAACCCCAGUGUCUGGGGCCAUCCUUGACACACUUAUAUGGUGAGAGGCUGAAAGGGCAUCUCAAAUGAAUUAAUGGCUGCUUACCUUGAUAUCCACACAGUCCAAUGAGACAUGUUGUAGACGAUUAUCUCUCACCUGUUUAAUGGUUCUCCGGUUCUAGUUAGCUGGCAUAAUCAAUUUUGCUAAAAAGGCAUACCUCUCACAUCUUGGGAAGGACAUCCCAAAUAGGCAACUUACUUAAUUCCAGGAAGAGUGACAGAAUCUACAGACCCUGAGGCAAUCUCACUUGUACUUGCCUUCAUGUAACUAGUAAAACAUACCUGGCAGUGCAGCACCUCCACAGAAAGGUGCUCCAGAAAGCAAUUGUUUGCUCUCACCCUGCUGAGAAGUAGCAAUAUCCAUGUGGCUUAAGGGCUGUAGCUGCAGCCAUGAACAGUGUUAGAAAAAUAUCACCACCAUUUGCCAGCAUGAGAUGCCAAACUGCAAAUAAGAGACAUGUCGAUUCAAUGAAGCAGGAACAUUUCACUUGUUUUUAAGAUUACUUGCGAGAAGUUUAUUGCUAUGUGUUUGUCUGCCUUUAAAUAAGAAAUUGCAUUUUUUUAAAAAACCGCCUCCUCUCUUCUCCCCACAAAGGGACAAGGCUUUCCUACUCGGGUGAAUAUUGCCUGUGCUGCUUACCGAAGAAAGGGAGCAGUCUUGGCAAGCAUCUUAUUAGUCUAAAAAUAAAUUAUUCAGAAUGCAGGUUCAGAUACAGAUUGCAGGGAGAGAUAAUAGAAUUGGUUUUCCAAGCCUGAUCAUGCUAUGAAGACGUGGUGUGUGCUUUUCAGGAAUCCACUUAAGUGGAAUCAGCUUUGACUAAUACAAACUAGAAAUAAUAUUGCUGCCAUCCAGCUAGUGUCUGUGGUACAGCAUCCUCAGAAUGUCUUCAAGUAUCCACGGCCUCUUUAGUGUCUGUAAGUGCGCAUAUGUAAAAGUGUAUAUGUAUUCCCAAGCAAGCUUCAGAGGCAUGCUUCUCAUUGUUCUUUUAAGGAAAUGUCUUCCUGGCCGCCUGAGAGGGGCAUGUCUCACUUGAGCUCCAGGGCUGCAUCUCCGUGGGCACGCCAAGCUUCCCCUGGUUACCUGAGCUGCUCCUGCCGUCUCCCGCCUGGGCUUCGCCGUGGUGCACCCGAUCCCGGAAUCGUGCGUCUGCGCCCUGCGAAAGAAGGACCUGCUGGCGGAGCUCCGGCCAGGGUCUCCUCCCUCGCAGCUGGGCAAGGCGACUUGGAGGACAGGGUGAAGCUGCAGAAGACCUGGGGUGGGACGGCUAGAGAGGACGCCAAGGACUGGGGAAGGGGAAGUUAGGAGUACCUUACAUCCAAUGCCCACCCGUGCUCCGCAGGGCAAGGGCAGCCGUCGCCUCGGCCGCGUGCACCCAGCUCAGGCUGUUCCCAGGGAUUUAGUCUGGGGGGUCAACCCAUGGCGAGAUGUGGUGGCAUUUUACCUCAGAGUGGAGCUGAAGAUGGAUAAACAAGGUAUCUGAUGUAUCUGCCUGAGAAGGCAGAGCUGGAGAAAGGCGGAGUGAGGGAGCGCGUGGAAAGAAAGAGAUGCCGAAUGCCGGGUGAUUGUCUGCCGCUUGCUGUGCAUUCUCAUUCUAGGGAGGAUGGCAUAAUUUAUAACCCAGCACAUGGAUGGAGGAACUGUAAAUUGCAGUCUGGAUGUCCCCGACGCUGUCAACGAAGGAACUGAUGGGCUAGGUGACUGUACCAGUGUCCCCAGAGAAAAUCGCAGCCUCGCAGCAUGGAUUUAAAUGCAUGUGCAUGCAUGUAGAGACAUGAAAAAGGUUUCUGACCAUUUUACACAGGAAGUCUGUCACUUUGCUGGAUGGGGCUUGAUUGCAGCUUGUGUUUUCAGCUCCAGCUCAACACCCAUUUCCUGACUAGUGAGACAGCAUGGCCAAAGCAGCUGCAUGCAGAAUUUUCUUUUUACUCGGAAAGCAAGCCCCCUCUGUUUUAACUCCUUCCAGUUCUGAAUGCUCUGUGCUUUGCUAGGACCGAUUGUGGGGUUUUGUUUUCUUCUUCUACAAAUCCCUGUAAACACAGCUGUAUUCAGUAAUGGCAAAAAAUUCUAUCCUGUAAAUAGAAAUCUGAUCAAUUUAAUCAAAAUAAAUGUAUCCCAGAUGACUUUGAGACCAGCUGGCUACCACAGGCUUCAGAUGCUAAAUGCUCAGUGGAGAUGAAUACAGUGUUAUAUUUACAUGUUUCAGAAUGCCGGGAUCAGCCUAUAAUUUGCAAAAAGAAAUUAUUUUCUAAGGAGGAGAGGUGGUCCUACCAGCUCACAGCUAAGAUGGCUAGAUACAGGUGUAAAUGCUCUUCAUGUGAUUUGGAGAUUUGCAGUGUUGCAUUUCAAAAGGCAUGUGCCAUGAGGCAGAGUAUGGCCGUUGUCAGUAUGGAGAAUGCUCGCUUCUAACUUGCUGUUAUGGAGAGCCGAAUGCCCUCCAAGUAGCUUCUAGUGAGGUUGAGGGCAGGCACUUGAGGCUUGUUGUAGAUUCAAAUGUGAGGACUGGGGUUCUCCAACCCCAGCUCAGUGGAGUCAGCUCCACCCUGGGGGUGAGGAGCUUUCCCAGUUGUCAUGGGGAGCUCUUCUGGGACGCCUGUCUGGCCCUUCCACUGUUUGUUACUAUUUCUACAAAGGCAGCUCUGUGUGUUGGAUUAUGUUUGGCCAGCUGUUGGUGCAUUCCUGCGGGUGGGGCUGGGUGAGGAUCUUAUUACUGUACUUUCAAACUGUAGAUCUGUGUGCAGGGAUAGUACAGAAGGAAAGGAAAAGCAGUAAGUUACAGAAUCUGAUCAUUCUUACCUCUUUCUCCAGAUAGUCCUAGAGUGAAUCCAGAAAGGCUUUAAAGUGAAAAGAGGAAAGAGAGAGUAAGUGAUUGGGGGUGGGUGGCAUGAGGAGAAGAGAAUGAAACAGAGCAAGCGCACAAGAGAAAAACAGCCUUAGAACUUCAAAGCUGCAUAGACAAGCAGAAUGUCACCAGCUUGUAAUUAGCGGUUCGUGGUUGCGUCAGUGACUGUAUCUGUCCAAGAAUAACUAUGUGAUGUGUGCCACAAAGUGAAGAAGAUAGUCAUAACUAAGUUAUCAAACCCAGUUCAAACAAGGGCAAAUGGAUUAAGAAAUUUUCUGUUUGUAAAUCAAAUACUGAUGGAUUAUACAAAUAAGACUUACUGAAUUCUGUAUAAUUGAAGGCUGAAUUAUCAAUUUAUCGGGGGGAUAUGUUCAUUUAAUGAAACUGUGAACGCUUAAACAUGCAAAGUAAUCAUGUGAGAAAAUAUCAAUGCAAGCUCUAUCAAUACAAGACGUUUUACUAAAUAGCCAAAAAUGGCACUGCCAGUCUCCUAUCUCUGUAUCCACACAUAAUUUUGUUUGUUUUUGUGCAUUUCAAUAGAGAGAAGUCAAAAGUGACAUUCAAGUGAAUAGGGUAAAUUAAAUUCUAAAAUUCCCACUUUCGAAUUUAAAAAACAACUAAGGAGUUUUGAUUUAUGGUGAUCUCCCAAGUUUAAACCUUGAAGGAGGUUUUGUUGUCUUGAAGCCAAACAGCAGCUUGUCAGUAAACGUUAUGGGAAGUCAGCGUACCAGAAUUGUUGAGGUUUGAAGGCCACAUUCACUUCCCUCCCUUGUCUCUUGUGCUUGGAGAUUUGGGUGCUACCGAAGCCUCCACAAAGAGAUGGUGGGAGGAGCUGAUUGGUCCGUAGGCUUAGAAUGUUUACUCUUAUUUGUUUUCAGUGCUCCUCCACGGCAUUCAUUUUCUAUUUGUAUUUGUGUUCAUGCCGCACAAUUACUCCUGACCCGCUUUGUUUCUCUGCCCAAAGAGAAGUCAAUUUUAGUUCAGCUCUGCGUGUUUAGCUUGCUGGGUAAUAUGUGCAUAUGUAUUGCAUUACCCAUGUAUGCAUUUUUUCUUUUUUUAAAAUGUGGAUUAGGGAAAAUUGUAGCAUGGAAAGCUGCAUAUAUUAAAUCAAUAGCUUUUUGAAUCACAUGUAAUAUAAUUUAAAUAUACUCAGUUUGAGGUUGCCAAAACUGACAUUGUCUGAGCCCGUUUAAUUUACAUCUUCGAUUUAGUCAAGAAGCGGAACCUGCCAGAUCAGAAUAGUAUUCUGUGCACCCAACAGGGUGGAAGACAUUAUUUUGUUUGUGUUAGUUCAAACAGCUGGUCAUUAAUGCAGUCCCCAUUUCUAGAGCGAAGUGCUGCUGGACAUGAAUGCCUGCCUGAUUAAUGCUGCCCCUCCGAGGGUCCUUCACCCAGCAGUCAUGCUCGCAGCAGAAUAAUGUAGCAUGAUGUGAUUGCACUCUAACAGGAUAGUAUGUCAUUGUGUCACCAAGCAAUUGAGGUUAUUAUGGGGCAGGGCAGACAGACGGGACAGUGGGGUUACUAGACCGUAGCAUUUUUAGAAAUACAGGCCUGACCUACUUAGAGUUAUUCUCUCUGGCUGGCAGCUGCAUGGUACAUAAAGUCUCCUGAUAGGCUGAGGCUGUUGCUAGGGGGAAUUAGCAUGAAUUUUUCCACACACAGACUCAGUGGCUGAAUGAUAAAAGCUGACUGGAAUUAAAGAGAUUUGGUUUAGUAUUAUACAGAUUUAUCUGCCUCCUUUUCUUUCUCAAGUGCAGAGAAAGAGUGCAAAACACAGAUUUUGUUUCCAUUUGUUCUUUGACCUUCUUGUUCCUCCUCCUCCCCUCAAGAUGCAUGAGGGGAGGAGAGUGGGGCAGUUAUGAAAUUUUGGUUAAUCUCUCACUGUUGGGGGUCAUUGAAAUGAUGUUGCAAAUUGCAAGAUAUUUAAGCUUAAAAACUGUUGGGAAUGACUAACAGAAGGUUAGAUUAUUUUUCCUCUUCUGCGCACUAAGCUGUUUUGAAGUUGGGCAUGCAUCUUUCAUGCACUGUAUAUUUAAACUCUCUUUCCCUUUUGGGCUUGAACAAAACAUUUAUAUAAAUUCUUUUCUAUCCAAACAGAUUGAAGCUUGCAAUCUCUGGCUUGUUUAAAAUAAGGUGGUCAGGAUUCCAGAUUUAGACAGGAAAAAAAUAUAUAUAUAUACCAUUUUUGUUAUUACAAAAUAUUAUUUUCUGGGCUAUUGUGGGUUUGACUCUCUUUUCAAAAACCAGCCUGAUGUAGAUGCUUAUGGAUGAAACUUAACUGCUCCUACCCUACCCUGUUGGCUUCACAAUGUAUAGGAAAACAUAGGUUUUUCUCCAGAAGAAAAUCUGCCUGCAGAAUAUAUCUGGAGGUUGUUUUCCUUGUUGCUGACAUAUGCACUGCAUAUAGACAACUCACAUAAUCAAUUUUAUAAGAUGACCCAUUUUUUUCCUUCUCGUGGAUCUCCAAGUGUCUGUGGCUUUUAGCAGAUCUUUUCUAGAGGAGGAGUUUUGAUAGAUCUUUUUAAGGUAAUCUGAAAAGCCAUCAGGAGAAAAAUUAAAGCAACACAUAUUCAAGAAUACUUUAAUUUUUCUUGUUCUUAAUUAUAUGCUCUCUAUAUUUAAACUGCAAUUUCUUUCUGUUACCUUUUAUUGCUGAAAGUAGUGAUUAUCUUUGCCUUUUAGAUUUGAAAUAAAUUUUUGUGAGAACACCCUGGGAUAUCACAAGUAAACAAGAAGCUGGGCUACAUAAAGGAAACGAAUAACAGAGAUUCUUGUAAACUUGUCACAUCAGAUUUUUUUUUUUUUUUUUUUGGCCACAUGAAAAAGGCAAGAGAAAAUUUAGGUGUAGCUUUUUCUUUUCAUUUAGAUUUUUAAAAAUAUUUAGAACUAUUUAGAUACAUAAUGCUUUUAAACAGUGAUUUCUACUUAUACCAGAGAAUACAGUCAAAACAAAAUAAAACAAAUCCUCUCAUGGUGUCAGAGCCAAGAAAUCUAUCAAUCAUGUGUAUAUUUUUUAAAUCCAGGAGUGUUUACAUUCAGCAUAUAAAUCUUAUCAAGCUAAAAUAGAGUAUAUUUUCUGAUGUAAUUGAUAGAUCAUACCCUCACUAGCUUUGAGAGUCCCCAUAUAAACAUUUAUUGUAAAGGUUUGCAACUACACUAGCAAUCUUUCUUAAUUGAAUAAAAUGUCAAUUUAUAUUUGUGGAAUAAAAGAUUACCUUGGUGUACUGCUCCUUCCAAAAUGAAGCAAUUUCUUUGUUGUUUUAACAAGUGAACAUUUUUUUGGUUUUCUUUUGCAGUAUUUAUUUUGCUUAGGUCAAUGGACAAUUAUUUAAAUAUUUAAAUGCAAAUACAUGGAAAUAAAAUGUCACUUUAAAAUCACUUAAGAAAGGAAAAGUGUCAACAUACUUUUAUUAACACUCUUUAAUAAACGUGGCUAAUUUAUAUGUAAAGCACAGCCUGUUUCCAGGUACCCAGUCGAAUCAAAUGUUUAUUGUUUGGUGAAAAAUAAAUUGAUCACAUUAUAAUAGUUAAA